UAAUGAUUGCGAAUGGUCACCUUCAGUGCUGGCUCGCAAGAGCAAGUGCACGUUGGUGGCUUUCAUCCAAUUCCACACCCUGUGAACCUUUGGCCUCUUGCUAGCUUCGGCUGGCAGAGGAUUUUUACAUAUACUCGCAUGUAAUGAAAACUAUUGUUGUGCGCAAGCACUACUAUACAACUUUCAACAACGGAUCUCUUGGCUCUCGCAUCGAUGAAGAACGCAGCGAAAUGCGAUAAGUAAUGUGAAUUGCAGAAUUCAGUGAAUCAUCAAAUCUUUGAACGCACCUUGCGCUCCUUGGUAUUCCGAGGAGCAUGCCUGUUUGAGUGUCAUUAAAUUCUCAAGGAGUUUGUUCUCUUUGGAUUUUGGAGUGUUUGCUGGCUUGAAUCUUGUUCAGCUCCUCUCAAAUGCAUUAGCUUGUGCUUCUGUGGAAUCAGGCUUUGGUUUGAUAGUAUCUAUGUCAUUGCCUUUGAAACAAAUGAGCUAGCUUCUAAUCAUUUUAUUUUUGACAUUUUG
This 516-nucleotide unclassified non-coding RNA is filed under the name Sebacina sp. 1 CG-2012. RNAcentral describes it as "sequence contains ITS1, 5.8S rRNA gene, ITS2". The stretch from base 179 to 332 matches the Rfam family "5.8S ribosomal RNA". The record is from RNAcentral. Lineage: Eukaryota; Fungi; Basidiomycota; Agaricomycetes; Sebacinales; Sebacinaceae.